RNAcentral lists this ribosomal RNA (1618 nucleotides) under Salmonella enterica subsp. enterica serovar London. Its description in RNAcentral is "bacterial LSU rRNA". It matches the Rfam family "Bacterial large subunit ribosomal RNA", at positions 1223 to 2823 of the family's 2925-position model. Lineage: Bacteria; Pseudomonadati; Pseudomonadota; Gammaproteobacteria; Enterobacterales; Enterobacteriaceae. The record is from RNAcentral.
GUUGGGUAGGGGAGCGUUCUGUAAGCCUGUGAAGGUGUGUCGUGAGGCAUGCUGGAGGUAUCAGAAGUGCGAAUGCUGACAUAAGUAACGAUAAAGCGGGUGAAAAGCCCGCUCGCCGGAAGACCAAGGGUUCCUGUCCAACGUUAAUCGGGGCAGGGUGAGUCGACCCCUAAGGCGAGGCCGAAAGGCGUAGUCGAUGGGAAACGGGUUAAUAUUCCCGUACUUGGUGUUACUGCGAAGGGGGGACGGAGAAGGCUAUGUUGGCCGGGCGACGGUUGUCCCGGUUUAAGCGUGUAGGUGUGUGUUCCAGGUAAAUCCGGUUCACUUUAACACUGAGGCGUGAUGACGAGGCACUACGGUGCUGAAGCAACAAAUGCCCUGCUUCCAGGAAAAGCCUCUAAGCAUCAGGUAACAUCAAAUCGUACCCCAAACCGACACAGGUGGUCAGGUAGAGAAUACCAAGGCGCUUGAGAGAACUCGGGUGAAGGAACUAGGCAAAAUGGUGCCGUAACUUCGGGAGAAGGCACGCUGACACGUAGGUGAAGUGAUUUACUCACGGAGCUGAAGUCAGUCGAAGAUACCAGCUGGCUGCAACUGUUUAUUAAAAACACAGCACUGUGCAAACACGAAAGUGGACGUAUACGGUGUGACGCCUGCCCGGUGCCGGAAGGUUAAUUGAUGGGGUCAGCGCAAGCGAAGCUCCUGAUCGAAGCCCCGGUAAACGGCGGCCGUAACUAUAACGGUCCUAAGGUAGCGAAAUUCCUUGUCGGGUAAGUUCCGACCUGCACGAAUGGCGUAAUGAUGGCCAGGCUGUCUCCACCCGAGACUCAGUGAAAUUGAACUCGCUGUGAAGAUGCAGUGUACCCGCGGCAAGACGGAAAGACCCCGUGAACCUUUACUAUAGCUUGACACUGAACAUUGAGCCUUGAUGUGUAGGAUAGGUGGGAGGCUUUGAAGUGUGGACGCCAGUCUGCAUGGAGCCGACCUUGAAAUACCACCCUUUAAUGUUUGAUGUUCUAACGUGGACCCGUAAUCCGGGUUGCGGACAGUGUCUGGUGGGUAGUUUGACUGGGGCGGUCUCCUCCUAAAGAGUAACGGAGGAGCACGAAGGUUGGCUAAUCCUGGUCGGACAUCAGGAGGUUAGUGCAAUGGCAUAAGCCAGCUUGACUGCGAGCGUGACGGCGCGAGCAGGUGCGAAAGCAGGUCAUAGUGAUCCGGUGGUUCUGAAUGGAAGGGCCAUCGCUCAACGGAUAAAAGGUACUCCGGGGAUAACAGGCUGAUACCGCCCAAGAGUUCAUAUCGACGGCGGUGUUUGGCACCUCGAUGUCGGCUCAUCACAUCCUGGGGCUGAAGUAGGUCCCAAGGGUAUGGCUGUUCGCCAUUUAAAGUGGUACGCGAGCUGGGUUUAGAACGUCGUGAGACAGUUCGGUCCCUAUCUGCCGUGGGCGCUGGAGAACUGAGGGGGGCUGCUCCUAGUACGAGAGGACCGGAGUGGACGCAUCACUGGUGUUCGGGUUGUCAUGCCAAUGGCACUGCCCGGUAGCUAAAUGCGGAAGAGAUAAGUGCUGAAAGCAUCUAAGCACGAAACUUGCCCCGAGAUGAGUUCUCCCUGAGACUU